Molecule: ribosomal RNA, 1474 nt
Filed under: metagenome
Description: bacterial LSU rRNA
Rfam family: Bacterial large subunit ribosomal RNA
Source: RNAcentral
GUAGGGUAGCCGAGCGCACGGUUGGUUGUGCGUUCAAGCCUGUAGAUUGGAUUGCCAGGACCCGAUAGGGACAAACGGCAGUCCGCGUAAUCGAGAGGUGAUGAGGUCGGGGCUUGCCCCGGAUACUCGGUAAUCCCAAGCUUCCAAGAAAAGCCGCGUACAGAGCCCCCUUAGUGUCCGUACCGCAAACCGACUCAGGUGGGCGGGGUGAGUAUCCCAAGGCGCGUGAGAGAACCCUGGUUAAGGAACUCUGCAAAAUGACACCGUAACUUCGGGAGAAGGUGUGCCGGUCUGCGUGAAGGAGUUUACCUCCGGAGCGUGGGCUGGUUGCAGAGAAAUGGGGGUUGUGACUGUUUACUAAAAACACAGGACUCUGCGAAGUCGUAAGACGACGUAUAGGGUCUGAUGCCUGCCCGGUCUGGAAGGUUAAGGGGACGAGUCAGCGAAAGCAAAGCUCCGAACCGAAGCCCCAGUAAACGGCGGCCGUAACCAUAACGGUCCUAAGGUAGCGAAAUUCCUUGUCGGGUAAGUUCCGACCUGCACGAAGCAUAACUGCAUCCCCGCUGUCUCGACCAGGGACUCAGCGAAAUUGUAUCGGGGGUGAAGAUACCCUCUACCCGCGGCAAGACGGAAAGACCCCAUGAACCUUUACUGCAACUUGGCAGUGAUUUUCGGGAUAUUCUGCGUAGGAUAGGUGGGAGGCUGUGAAGCCGGGCUUCUGGGUUCGGCUGAGCCAACGUUGAAAUACCACCCUGGAUAUUCUGGACAUCUAACCUAGAUCCAUCACCUGGAUCAGGGACACUGCCUGGUGGGCAGUUUGACUGGGGCGGUCGCCUCCUAAAAAGUAACGGAGGCGUGCGAAGGUUCCCUCAUCCUGAUUGGAAACCAGGAGUAGAGUGCAAACGCACAAGGGAGCUUAACUGUGAGACCGACAGGUCGAACAGGUGCGAAAGCAGGCGUUAGUGAUCCGGUGGUUCUGUAUGGAAGGGCCAUCGCUCAUCGGAUAAAAGGUACUCUGGGGAUAACAGGCUGAUCGCGCCUGAGAGUUCACAUCGGCGGCGCGGUUUGGCACCUCGAUGUCGGCCCAUCGCAUCCUGGGGCUGGAGCAGGUCCCAAGGGUUCGGCUGUUCGCCGAUUAAAGCGGUACGCGAGCUGGGUUUAAAACGUCGUGAGACAGUUUGGUCCCUAUCUGCCGUGGGCGUAGGACACUUGAGAGGAGCUGCUCAUAGUACGAGAGGACCUGAGUGGACGCACCUCUGGUGUUCCGGUUGUCCUGCCAAGGGCAUAGCCGGGUAGCCAUGUGCGGAACGGAUAACCGCUGAAAGCAUCUAAGCGGGAAGCCGGCCUCAAGACUAGGUGUCCCGAGUCGGAAGACUCCUAAAGACCCCUUGUAGACUACAAGGUUGAUAGGCCGGGUGUGGAAGCGAAGUAAUUCGCGGAGCUAACCGGUACUAAUAGGUCGUGCGGCUUGACC